RNAcentral lists this ribosomal RNA (483 nucleotides) under uncultured bacterium. Its description in RNAcentral is "partial 16S ribosomal RNA". It matches the Rfam family "Bacterial small subunit ribosomal RNA", at positions 32 to 523 of the family's 1533-position model. The record is from RNAcentral.
AAUCAACGCUGGCGGCGUGCCUCAGACAUGCAAGUCGAACGAUUAAGACUUCCUUCGGGAAGUGCAUAAAGUGGCGCACGGGUGAGUAACACGUAAGUAAUCUACCUUUGAGUGGGGAAUAACCCGGGGAAACCCGAGCUAAUACCGCAUAAUGCAGCGGCAUCGCAAGAUGACAGUUGUUAAAGGAGCAAUCCGCUUAAAGAGGAGCUUGCGGCAGAUUAGCUAGUUGGUAAGGUAGUGGCUUACCAAGGCAACGAUCUGUAUCCGGUCUAAGAGGACGGUCGGACACACUGACACUGAAUAACGGGUCAGACUCCUACGGGAGGCAGCAGUCGGGAAUUUUGGGCAAUGGGCGAAAGCCUGACCCAGCAACGCCGCGUGAAGGAUGAAGUAUUUCGGUAUGUAAACUUCGAAAGAAUAGGAAGAAUAAAUGACGGUACUAUUUAUAAGCUCCGGCUAACUACGUGCCAGCAGCCGCGGUAA